ACCUUAAUGCAGCUCCGAAAGGAACGGUGACAAGCCCGUAUUAAUGCAGAGUCAAGGA
Molecule: non-coding RNA, 58 nt
Filed under: unclassified sequences
Source: RNAcentral